CUUCGAGGAGGUGGCUGUGUAUUUCACCGAGGGGCAGGAGGCUCUGAUGGACCCCGGUCAGAGAGCCCUCUACAGGGAUGACAUGCAGGAGAAUUAUAAGAAUGUGACUUCACUGGGAUGUCCAAUUCCCAAAUCU
Non-coding RNA from Chelonoidis abingdonii (Abingdon island giant tortoise), 136 nucleotides. The record is from RefSeq and is a predicted model, not a curated record. Lineage: Eukaryota; Metazoa; Chordata; Testudines; Testudinidae.